GAUGAACGCUGGCGGCGUGCUUAACACAUGCAAGUCGAACGAAGCACUUAAGAUUGCUUCUUCGGAUGACGUCUUUUGUGACUUAGUGGCGGACGGGUGAGUAACGCGUGGGUAACCUGCCUCACACAGGGGGAUAACAGUUAGAAAUGACUGCUAAUACCGCAUAACCCGAUAGGAUCGCAUGAUCCAGACGGAAAAGAUUUAUCGGUGUGAGAUGGACCCGCGUCUGAUUAGCUAGUUGGUGAGGUAACGGCCCACCAAGGCGACGAUCAGUAGCCGGCCUGAGAGGGUGAACGGCCACAUUGGGACUGAGACACGGCCCAAACUCCUACGGGAGGCAGCAGUAGGGAAUAUUGCACAAUGGGGGAAACCCUGAUGCAGCGACGCCGCGUGAGUGAAGAAGUAUUUCGGUAUGUAAAGCUCUAUCAGCAGGGAAGAAAAUGACGGUACCUGACUAAGAAGCCCCGGCUAACUACGUG
RNAcentral lists this ribosomal RNA (479 nucleotides) under uncultured bacterium. RNAcentral describes it as "partial 16S ribosomal RNA". It matches the Rfam family "Bacterial small subunit ribosomal RNA", at positions 28 to 507 of the family's 1533-position model. The record is from RNAcentral.